CGGUCGGUAGAGAAGGUAAGCUCCGUACAUUUUUGGAUAACCUACAUUUGGGAUCGGCGGCCACCGCACGAUCGAGUUUAAGAGGGUUAAAGGACUGACUUUAGUCGAUCAAAUCAAUUUUAAGUCAUCUACCCCCGAGACCACGACUGUCGUCCCGCGUACUAAGAGAGAGGGCCAGGCGUGAAGCGGGCUAAUUGGGAUCGGGGAGGCGAGGAACGUCGGAGUGGGCAGCGGCGCGAGGCAGGAGGAGAGGAGGGGCAAGAGAGGUCGGCGGCUCAAGCGGCGGCGGCGGCGGGAGGGGCCGCUCGAGCGGGGAACGGUAGCGGCCCUCCUUUCACGUCUCGGCUGCGAGCGCAGCGACGAGGCAUCUCUCCUCGUGCGGUAGCUCUGCUGGGUUUUUCCUUUGUGGCGGCCGGCUUCGUAGAUACCCCCGGGGUACCAACGGCCGCUGGCCUGCGGUGGUGGCGGCGGCUACAGCAGCCGCGGGGGUGCGGUACGAAGGCUUGUCCUCCUCCUACCGGUGCUCAAACGUCACCUCCCCCCGCGUAGGUAGCCGGCUCUAGCACUUGUGACGGGAACUGCCGCACGACCACCACCGGACUCAUGGUAGACAGCCUCUCCUCUUUCCGUACGGAUGGGGAAGAACUCUCGCCAGCACAUGUUCCGGUCUUGCUGUUUCGGCGAGGGUGACGAGGGGUCACGUCUCCUAACGUAUAUCCGAGAUACUGCGUCUAACACAGCGGCCACCAGGCAACCAACUACUUAAAACGAAUAGAAGUUACAAGAUACAUCGUACGGUCAUUACGAAGGAGUGGACGAACUUUUUCUUCGACUGAUAACGUAUAGACCAGUUGGAAAGGAUCAGAAUACUAUUCCAAUAUUCCCAACUGACGAGUAUCUUCCAAUAACAAGUUAGGUACCUAUGUCAGAUCGUAGAAUACUAUUCUUCUCUUAUACGAUUCCCUCUAUGUAACUGUCCUUCACGAGUGAGCGAACUUAACAAAGAUAGCCCCCGUCUUAAUAACAACUUUGUACGGUGGCACAAACCAGACCCUAGACUCGCUUGGACAGCGCGGGCUGAAGCAGGAGGUGAACCAGCAUCGGUAGGUGUUUUUCUCCCCUACAGUACUGUCGGCCCAGGAGUGGACAGAGGUGAGGUAUCGUACAGUUGCCGCCUCGGCGCUAUAUUUCAACCUCGCACGGGAAAGCAAUCACGGCAGCAAGAGAGGAGGUGCCGACAGCAACAGUGCUCGGGUUCAUAGAAACGACCCAUAGCUGCCGUAACCACCUGGAUUAUCUUUUUCUUCUUUUCUCUUCUUCGUAGUUCUAUAGUACGUUUCUACAUAAGUUCCGACAGAACGUUGUUACGUAGAAGUCCCUGAACCUUCAAAGUAGAUAAUUCUCUUCGGCUACGAACACGCCUAACGACUUAGUUAGUUCUACCUUCGACUACGUUAAUCUCAGGGUAACCAUGGUAACGGACACUAGCGCUACGUCCGUGAGUGAGAUCCUAGACUACAUAAAAAAAAACGAUUAGGGAAUACCAUCUAAUAUCAAGUUCAUCACUUAAGUAGGUGAAGAUAUGUAUAAAAGAAAACAACAGACGAAACACAAGGACGUUGAGUCGUACUAGUGGUUUCCCUGCAGAGGAUUUUUAGUUCUCUUAUUGAUUAACGUAUACGAAAAAUGAACACAAGGAAAACCCUCUAACUCUACUACGUGUGAACUUAAUACUCACUUAAUACACAGGAACCGAUAACUUUUAAAACAUAACAUAAGACCCAUCCAGUACUAGUACAUAUCCCCCGACCUACUCAGACUCGUCCCUCCAAACAUGACUUGAGUACCCGUGAACACGACAAUAAAACAGUCCUCUAAUAGUAAAAUAGAGGCUUAUAAACAUG
This 1904-nucleotide ribosomal RNA is filed under the name Triticum aestivum (bread wheat). Its description in RNAcentral is "partial small subunit ribosomal RNA". The record is from RNAcentral. Lineage: Eukaryota; Viridiplantae; Streptophyta; Magnoliopsida; Poales; Poaceae.